CGUCCUCUUCUCGAGUUGUAGUUUGAAUAUUUCUACCGGCUCUCUUGGAUAUACUAUAUUAAUAGUCCUCCUUUCGUGGAUGAUGUCAGUACUGUACUCAAUAGGGUAUUCUUUGCUUUUGAGAUCAUCCGCCUAGACUAACGCCGAUAGAAAUAAAUCAUGCGAAAGUACAUUUCCUUUUCCUAGACACUUGCACGAAGGAGCAGCAGCAACGUUGUAGGUGGCUCCUUCGAAUCCCGAUUUGCCAAUAGCUCGGCGCUACCAACACGUAAGCCGAGCAUGCAAACUCCGAUUUGAAAGGCAGAGAGCUUAGACGAACCUCACGACCACGUCAUCUUCGUCCUAUCUCAGUCAUGUUAAGUGGAUUUUAUCUUUGUACUCGAAGGCACGAGCAUCUAUGUAUACUCGCGGAAGCAUCGAUGCUUGCUUCGUCUCGUCCUUCGUUAAAGAUUUUACGGUACCAUCUACCACACGUUUUCGAAUACGUUCAUUAUGGGAGAAUCCUGUCCACGUAGAAAAAGUUUCGAAAGACCGUUAGAAGUCUGCCGGAAGCUAUCAAAACUCUCGCAUAGAAGGAAUUAAAGAAAAUUGUUCGUAAAUAAGCUAUACUAUGGAUUUACUAAAAAGAUCUUCAAUUUGUAUUCUAUUUAUUUAUACAUUCGUAAUAUUUUAUUCUUCUGUUUUCAUUUCUGAAAGAAAUUUUCAUUUUCAUCUAUUUAUCUGUUAGAGUAUUAUUUAAAGAAAAUUGUUUUGAUAGUUUUACUUUUUUUUUUUUGUUUUUGUUUUCUAAAAGAGUCUUUCCUGAAACAGAAUGAUGAGAAUUUCAUCAAGCGUUACUCCAGAUGAAAAGGAUAACGAUGUAAUAGAAGAAAUCAAAAUAAAAUCAAAAGGGUUGGAUAUAUUUUUCUACGCAAUGUACGAAUGAAUAUGUUUGUUACGCAUCUGCGCUAAUAGAAGCAGCAAAUCAUCUCAGGGAAAACAUUAUCUGUUUGUUACGUAUAUUUUUCCAACGUAUUUAUUAAAUAACAUUAAAUUCGACUGAAUAUUUUUAUCCUUCAAUUUCUUCCUCAUUUACUUAUUUUCUAAAGAUGAAAUUUUAUCAAUUUUAAGAAAAACAUUCG
Vespa velutina is the source of this 1121-nucleotide long non-coding RNA. RefSeq lists it as uncharacterized. The record is from RefSeq and is a predicted model, not a curated record. The transcript is spliced from 3 exons. Lineage: Eukaryota; Metazoa; Arthropoda; Insecta; Hymenoptera; Vespidae.